CGCAGCUCUGCUUCCCUGUGUAGUAGUUUCAUUCUAAGCUAUGCCCUCACCAUGCUCAUGGCCAAGGCCCCAUGUCCUGCUUGGCACUGAGGGUGCAGAAACCCACGGUGGGAGGAUUUUACCAGAGGGAAAAUGGAUUCUGGAGGUACCUGGUGCCAGUUCCUGAGACUUGAGGAUUCUGGUUGGUUCUCAGCACAGGAGUCAGCCUGCUCUGAUUUGCUAGUGAUGUCCUAACCAAUCUCCCUGAAAAAUUAUCUGUGAAAUUUAUUUCUAUACAUCCAACAAGCACAAUGAACUCUAGGUAGAAUAAAUUCAGUGAGGUCCACAUCAAGAACAUUGUAAUCAAACUGUUGAAUGUCAAAGACAGAGAAUCUUGAAAGCAACAAGAAAGAAUCAACUAUCAUGUACAAGGGAACCUUAGUAAGAUGAACAGUUGGCUAUUUAUCAGGAACUAUGGAAGCCAGAAAACAGUGGGCAUAUUUAAAGUGCUGAAAGAAAAGAACCUAUCAACCAAGAAUUCUGUAUCUGGCAAAAUUGCCCUUCAAAAGUGAGGAAGAAAUUGAGAUAUUCCCAAUAAACAAAAGCUGAGGGGUUCACUACAAGUAGACCUGCCCUGCAAGAAAUGCUACAAGAUGUCCUCAAGUUGAAAUGAAAGGACACUAAAUGGUAACUUGAAGCUGUAUGAAGAAAUAAAGGUCUACAGUAAAGUGCGUCUAGAGUGUUGACAGUUGUUUCCAUGGACUUCAAAUCAACCCAACCCUGUGAGCACAGACUUUCAGCACCAGAGUCAGAUUUCCCAAAAAUGCUAUUCUUGAAGCGUAGAGCCAGACUCACAGAUCCUGUAAAGAAAACAGAUCUUUCAGCAAGUGAAACACCCAAUCUUCCAUUGCAUGGGACUCACAGAGGUUCUGAGGGAGAGAUGUGAAUAGAAGGAGUGAUCAUCACUGUGGACUCUAUUUCUUCCAUCUGUGCGUGCAAGAUUUAUAUCUGUAUGUGUUUGUUUUAAAGUUUUAUUGAGGUAUAAUUGAUACACAAUAAUCUGUACCUAUUUAAUGUAUACAAUUUGAUGAGUUUGGACAUACUUAAAUACCUGUGAAACCAUCACCACAAUCAAGGUAAUAGACAUAGCCAUCACCUCCAAAAGUUUCUUUGUGUCCCUUUGUGGUUUGUUUCUGAGAUAAGAACACUUAACAUGUGGACUCUUGACACUCUCCUUGGAUCUCUUAAUUUGAUUGCUGUUGCUGUCACCACAUUGACUUCCUAGCCCUGCUGAUCCUCCUUUAUCACUAGCUCUAGAAAAAAAAACAAACCAAACACCACUAAUUCAUUUAUUCAGUAAUUCAACAAAAAAACCAUUGAGCACUUAAUAUUUGCAGAAUACAUGGCUAGAUGCAGAG
RNAcentral lists this long non-coding RNA (1397 nucleotides) under Homo sapiens (human). RNAcentral describes it as "HSALNT0249812". Lineage: Eukaryota; Metazoa; Chordata; Mammalia; Primates; Hominidae. The record is from RNAcentral.